This is a non-coding RNA of Ictidomys tridecemlineatus (thirteen-lined ground squirrel), 2391 nucleotides long. NCBI's taxonomy places the organism in Eukaryota, Metazoa, Chordata, Mammalia, Rodentia, Sciuridae. The record is from RefSeq and is a predicted model, not a curated record.
GAUAAACUGAACAAUGUUAAAUUCUACAGACUCUAGAAAGACUAUUUAAUCUUUUUUUGGAAGAAAUUAUGCCUCCUAUGUCUCAUUUCCCAGUCUCUCCCCAGAAAUUAAUUCUGAAUGUUCCUAUGAAAGCAACCUUUCUCAUUGCCUGACUGUUGCUUUGGAUUUUUGUCAGGGCAUCUCAAAGGCUGCUAUUAGACAAAUUUUCAUUAAACUAAUAAGCAAGUUCUUGGGCAAAACAUGAAUUUUUUGUCAUCUCGUGUGAAAAUGGGGGAGGGGGGAAGCCAUAAUUAGGAAGGAAGUCACUAAUUGUAAGGCACAACAUUUGUUUGCUAAGAAUAGCCGUGAAGGGGCUUCGGAAGCCUUGGUAACUCAAUAUCGGAAAACAGCUAUUAAAAUACAAGCGGAUCGGGGCCCAGACUGAAGGACGGCCCUCCACCGGCGGCCUGUGAUGGUGGUUUGACUGGAGCAUCGUGGGCACUUUUCAAAGGAGAAUAUGGAGGGAGGCUAACUACUUCGGGUACCGUAGCUUUGGGGUUCCAAGUUACAGACUCCAGUUUUAAUUUCUAGAGGACGCUUCUGUGAGCAGAGCUGUGCAGCUCUGCCGUCAGCACAGUUACUGCUUCAGGAUGGUGAUGAAUGGGCCAAAUUAGGACAGAGAGUGAUGUUUCUCGGGCCCAGACGGUUCCGGAACCAGCUUUGCAUGCCAAAUGUCUGGGUGUCUGACAUCCGUCUGAAGUUUGCACAACUCCCCGUGAUUUAUUUCCCUUCCGGAGAAGAGCCUUGUUCCUAUCUUCUGACAAAGAGACUCCUUAAAGAAAAUUGGGAAAAUUCUGAAAUUUUUAAUGAAAGGACUUAAAAUUCUGCUUUAUUCCACCAGGCAGAGAGAUCUAGACCACAUUCGGGCAUAUAUCAUUCUUCCCUUUCUUCAUGAAUUUGAAACUGUUUAUUGACACAUGACAAUUAUAUGAUCGAAUGUUUUGUGAUCACACAUCUGAAGUGUCUGGCUUGAAAUGAAUUUUUUGUGGAUGCUUCCAAGUGGCUGCCCCUUAGAUCAAGAUUGAAUACCACUGUCCUUCAAGUCUUUUGUGAUUCAACCUUAACUCCCCUGUCCUGGUCCUGGCUUCUCUUAUUCUAAUUCUUUUUACAAUUCACUCAGUGCUUUUUUUUUAAAAUCAAUAUAAACAGAAUCAUACAGAAUAUUCCCUCAAUUUUUUUUUAUUCAGCAUUAUUUGUGAGAUUUAUUUAUCUUCUAGUAUCUUGCUACCUUUUUCACUUCUGCAUAAUAUCCCAUUAUAUCCUAUGCCACGAUUUAUCCAUUGAUAAAUUAUUUGAGUCGUCUACCUUUGAAAUGGUUUUCAACAAAGAACACACAUUCUUCAAGGUGUCGUUUGUGCAUUUGCACUAAUUUCUUUUGGAGUCCUGUCUUUUUGUGUGGGGGCAUGUAAGUGUAGAUAUUUCAUAGCUGAUUUGAUUCCCACUUUCUCUCCGUCUCCAGCUCGAUAUGCCUAUCCGCCACAGGAUUCCAAUGUCUCCCAGGCUCAGGUCUGUCGGGAUCCCUGGACAUUACCUAGGUCCAGUCUUGGAGAAGCAGCCUGGCUGGACCUGUCGUCUGGUGCUCUGAGUCCUUCAGUUUCAGGAUGGCAGGUGUCCCCAGCCGGUCCCCGGCCGCCACGUAACAGACUGACCUUGGCUGAUGUGACAGUUUGGAUAGGAGAUGUCCCGGGAAAGCCCAUAAGGCAAAGCAGGAGAGAUCCCAGGAGCAGGGACUGGGCCAGGCCAGCGGUAACCUGCAGCGGGUGGCUCCUGCCUCCUCUGUGUCUCCUGCUCUCCUGCAGCUGCUCCCUUUCAACAUUCUAGAACAUUCCGGGAGCAGGCACCUGAUUCAAGACACUGAACCCUGCGCAGGGGGACACGGUCACAGACGGAACCCAGUCGGGGAGGCCGACGCCGAGGGAGAACGAGUCACCUCAUGAAGAGACUGCCCCGGAUCUAGCAAUUCCAGUUUUACUUAAAUGAUGGAGAACAAAGUAUCUUUCAGAGAAAGGUCAUGCGGGUCCACAUGCUGGAAUUCAGAGAGGCUGGAGGAGAUGGUGUUGGAUUCUUCUCACCAAGAAAUGAUCAAUACUGAGAUGAUGGAUGAAGUGUCCUGAGUUGGUCAUCACACAAUCCAGACUGUGCCAAACUUCACACUCUCCCCCAUGACGGCGCACAACGAUGACCUGUCAGUUGAAAAAUGAAUGAAAAAAUUGGCCCAGGUGGUCAGUGUUCUGCUUAUCUCACCAGAGUUAAGAAAUUGGAAAGCUCUAAAGUGCCCCUUUGGCAGUGGGCAGUGUGUCCCACUUGGUCAUUGUGCUGUUUCCACGGCUCAGCUUCUCCACCCCCCCUCCC